This 45-nucleotide non-coding RNA is filed under the name Schistosoma mansoni. The record is from RNAcentral. Lineage: Eukaryota; Metazoa; Platyhelminthes; Trematoda; Strigeidida; Schistosomatidae.
AUCCAGCUGACAAGUUCUAAAUAGAACGAAAGGUGCGUACUGGAU